CAGCAGCCACGGGAAUACGUAGGGUGCAAGCGUUAAUCGGAAUUACUGGGCGUAAAGCGUGCGCAGGCGGUUUUGUAAGUCUGACGUGAAAUCCCCGGGCUCAACCUGGGAAUUGCGUUGGAGACUGCAAGGCUGGAGUCUGGCAGAGGGGGGUAGAAUUCCACGUGUAGCAGUGAAAUGCGUAGAGAUGUGGAGGAACACCGAUGGCGAAGGCAGCCCCCUGGGUCAAGACUGACGCUAAUGCACGAAAGCGUGGGGAGCAAACAGGAUUAGAUACCCGCGUAGUCCCUGUCUCUUAUAC
Molecule: ribosomal RNA, 301 nt
Filed under: uncultured bacterium
Lineage: Bacteria
Description: partial 16S ribosomal RNA
Rfam family: Bacterial small subunit ribosomal RNA
Source: RNAcentral